This is a long non-coding RNA of Ornithodoros turicata, 498 nucleotides long. RefSeq lists it as uncharacterized. NCBI's taxonomy places the organism in Eukaryota, Metazoa, Arthropoda, Arachnida, Ixodida, Argasidae. The transcript is spliced from 4 exons. The record is from RefSeq and is a predicted model, not a curated record.
UUGUGACUUAUUCGUAAAAAAGCGGGUACUACCCAACGGUCACUUGUGCAGUCGUUGGUUACGUCAACUUACUGUUGUCCUGACAGGAAGUGGACUUUCAGAGGCGAGAGACUGCAUGCUUUUCAUCAGCUCAAGCCAUGAACAGAAGAGAGACCAUGGAGGAAACGUCUCAAGGCACUGUCAUGAUGGAUGCUGCCUCUGGGAUAAGACCUGAACUAGCCUAUAGUUCAGAAGACGUCUCAUACCUCGCACGUCCAGAAUCGCAUGGAAAUCGCGCGAAGGAGUAUGCUGUGCAAAACACCAGGCCCAUACAUGAGAGGUACGCGUCGUUCGCAAGCAGAAAAUCGUCGUUCGACCUUUAUCCUGCAACUGCGCAGGGAAACACAGAAAAAAUGGCAAAAGCUGGAUUCUUCUACACUGGUGCUCAAGAUCGCACAACCUGCUUUCAGUGCGGCAACUCUCUUUGCAGUUGGAGCGAUGAGGACGACCCGUUAUUUG